RNAcentral lists this ribosomal RNA (253 nucleotides) under uncultured bacterium. RNAcentral describes it as "partial 16S ribosomal RNA". It matches the Rfam family "Bacterial small subunit ribosomal RNA", at positions 524 to 776 of the family's 1533-position model. The record is from RNAcentral.
UACAGAGGCCUCAAGCGUUAGGCGGAAUCACUGGGCUUAAAGCGUGUGUAGGCGGAUGUCUAAGUGCCUUGUGAAAUCCCACGGCUCAACCGUGGAACUGCUUGGCAUACUGGACGUCUUGAGCCAUCCAGGGGUCGCUGGAACAAACGGUGGAGCGGUGAAAUGCGUAGAUAUCGGGAGGAACACCAGUGGCGAAGGCGAGUCCCUGGACAAUUCCUGACGCUGAGGCACGAAAGCUAGGGGAGCAAACAGG